UGCAGACAUGCGGGCAAAGCAUUAACACAUACAGUGCAGGUAAACGAAAUGGAAACCACAAGUAUGAAAUAUACCUCAUUGAAGAGUACAAGAGAGCCUGAGUAAUGUAUGUUUAACAGUGUGACUUUAAAGAUCUGAUGAAUGUCUUUAGAUUUUGAGAAUAGUUUGUACUGAGAUGGCUUGGUUAUGCAUGAGGAAUACUGCGACUUUUCUGACCCUGUUCAUAGUUUUCAUCCUGCAUGUGUGCAUUAAUGCACAAGGUUUGAGAAGAAGAGAAGCCAAGAAAGCACAGCAUAGAGCCCAAUUCAUGUGGACGACACCUGUCCCAAAUGUUCUGAAACGUGAAGAAUUUUUCUGUGUUCAGUACUCAUCUGUCCAAGAUUAAAUUGUGAUUCAACACAGAUUGUUUGUUACACUGUACAAAACAU
This is a long non-coding RNA of Triplophysa rosa, 428 nucleotides long. RefSeq lists it as uncharacterized. The record is from RefSeq and is a predicted model, not a curated record. The transcript has 3 exons. NCBI's taxonomy places the organism in Eukaryota, Metazoa, Chordata, Actinopteri, Cypriniformes, Nemacheilidae.